Molecule: transfer RNA, 66 nt
Filed under: human gut metagenome
Rfam family: tRNA
About the family: Transfer RNA (tRNA) molecules are approximately 80 nucleotides in length.
Source: RNAcentral
CCUUUAGCUCAGUUGGUCAGAGCAACCGGCUCAUAACCGGUAGGUCCCGGGUUCGAACCCCUGAAG